UGGAGAUGUUCUGAUAUUGCAACUCUUCGUGCUAUUUUCUCCACUAAAUCCUGCGUCUGCUGUUUCGGCACCGGAAAGUUGUAAACUGUGUAAAAUAAGCCAAAACACUAUAAAUACAUCAUCAUAAUGUGAAAUAUAUCAAUGAAUAGAUACAAAUUAUGAUACAUAAUAGUGAUGCAUUUUGGAUGUAUCAACUCCCCCAAGCUUAGACCUUGCUUGUCCCCAAGCGAAUACUGAGCUCGGUCAACCUAUCCACAAGUUUAGAGAGUGAAGUGUCGAUAAAUAAGAAUACGGACAAGAAGCAUUAUAAUUUCUCUACUAGACUCAACCAUC
RNAcentral lists this long non-coding RNA (333 nucleotides) under Hordeum vulgare. Its description in RNAcentral is "long non-coding RNA (HVUL_LNC003808)". Lineage: Eukaryota; Viridiplantae; Streptophyta; Magnoliopsida; Poales; Poaceae. The record is from RNAcentral.